UCCCUCUUCAAAUUGUUCAAGUUUCCAAUCUCUCUUUCAAACUCAUCUCGGUUCUGUACUUUCUGGACAACAGUUGGGUCAUAAAUUCUGCUUCUCUGACCUUUCCUGUUUCUUUUCGUUUCUGGGUUACCUGUGCCAUUAACUUCAAUGGAGAACCUGCAAGAAACGCCUAAAAGGGAGCAAAUGAAAUCCGAAGCCACCAUAUUUGAGAGCUGCAAUACACCACCUCAGGAUCAAAAAAGUGAUCCUAAAUCUUUAAAUUCGAGCAGUGAUU
This 274-nucleotide unclassified non-coding RNA is filed under the name Hevea brasiliensis (rubber tree). The record is from RNAcentral. Lineage: Eukaryota; Viridiplantae; Streptophyta; Magnoliopsida; Malpighiales; Euphorbiaceae.